Molecule: ribosomal RNA, 384 nt
Filed under: uncultured bacterium
Lineage: Bacteria
Description: bacterial SSU rRNA
Rfam family: Bacterial small subunit ribosomal RNA
Source: RNAcentral
AACAUACCUCAUAGUACGGAAUAACUGCGGGAAACUGUAGCUAAUACCGUAUAUUCCAGUAAUGGGAAAGAUUUAUCGCUAUGAGAUUGGCCCGCGCAAGAUUAGCUUGUUGGUGAGGUAAUGGCUCACCAAGGCUCCGAUCUUUAGCUGGUUUGAGAGGACGAUCAGCCACACUGGGACUGAGACACGGCCCAGACUCCUACGGGAGGCAGCAGUAGGGAAUAUUGGACAAUGGGGGAAACCCUGAUCCAGCAAUGCAGCGUGAGUGACGAAGGCCUUAGGGUUGUAAAACUCUUUCAUCGGUGAGGAUAAUGACAGUAGCCGAAGAAGAAGGACCGGCUAAUUCCGUGCCAGCAGCCGCGGUAAUACGGAAGGUCCUAGCGU